UCUUUGUUUGUAAUUGAUUGAUUUUAGUUCUGAGUUUAUUUCCUGCCAUCAAAUCCUACCAGACUCUCUAUGGGAUGAGGCUUUGCCUCACCUUGGUAACAGCAGCAUGUGAUACAUGAAGCUUUUGCUGCUCUCUGUAGUGGGGACGACGUCACAAUUUCACUGAAAACCAUGCACAGCCUCGUUUUAGACUGUAUUAAAGUAGCCCACGAUUUCAGUGCUCCCUGCAAGGUGCCAUGAGACAGUAGUAACAUGAGUCUGCCUGCACCUCGACAGUUUUCACUAGGGACUUCUGAGUGAUUUUAUGAAAAUUUAUAGUGAGUUCAUGGAUGAACAUGCACAAACACAAACGCACACACACACUUUACUGGCAUGGUGCACAUUCUUUCCACACAAAGAAGAAAGUGAGUAUUAAUGAAAACACACCAAUAAAGGAAUCGAUGGACGGGGUUGUGGGGAAGCUGGGGCUUAGAGUUAUUUAAAGGCCCUGUGCAGGCUCUCCUUCUGUUGGAGGCUAAACUUCAAGUGCAAUGGGGUUCUUUAUUUUCUUUCUGUAUAGCACACAGAGCUAGGGUGGAAACUAGUUUUUGAGCAUAUUUGGCAAGUACUAGAACACUGAAUUAAUUCCUAGGGCUGGAACCCUAUUAAUGUUCUACAGAAUUACAGGGCAGGCUGGAUGAAGACUCUCAGCUGACAAUGUGGACAUCUCAAGACAGGCACUGGACAAUGGCUGACAGACUUGUAUGAAGACUGGAAAUGUUUUGCUAUCUCAGAGGAAAAGAAGGCCCCUCAGACUACACUGUACUCUAAGGACAGUUUAUUCAGCUGCUGAGCUUUUAAAAGCCCUGGUGUGACAGCAAGCUUUUGUGGACAUCUGGAUUAUUCCUUCUGUACUUUAACUCUCUAAGUCAACCCCACUCUGAGUAAGUCAGUUCCAUUCCAUAAGUUGGAAAUCAGUCAACUGGAAAAAAAAUACUUUCUCAAUACAAACACAGAUUGGCCAUGGAAAAAGGGCAGCUUGAACUGUCCCACCUAGGUCCUGGGCUUGCACAGGCCUGCUCUCCAAAAGAAACGUGUGUUCACAGCUGCAGGCUGCAUUCACUAUGGAUGCUUCUUGAGGUUCCAGCUGGUGGAUAAGCUCUGGGGCGGGACAGACUCGCCCUGCAGCUCUAUUGAUGGGGUGACAAUGGAAGAAGCAACAGACUCAGGAAUUCUAGGUAAAAAGAGAAACUCAGAGAAGGGGUUUGGCAAUGUUCCUUCUCUUUCAAAUCAGAGGAAUAAUUGAAGCACUAUUGUUAUUAGGUCGUCAUUAAACUUCUGGUAGAAAGGCUGCAUUAAAGCCUAGUGGCCCUCAUAUAUAUUUUUUAAUUUUUGUAGUGGCAUCGUCUAAAUACUAUCUAUUUUCUUAUGAGAAUAAUCUUAUGACUCUUUGUAUUAUCCUCUUUGUUUGUAAUUGAAUGAUUUUAGUACUAAGUUUAUUUCCUGCCAUCAAAUCAUACCAGACUCUCUGUAGGAUAAGGCUUUGCCUCAUCUUGGUAACAGCAGCAUGUGAUAAAUGAAGCUUUUGCUGCUCUCUCUAGUGGUGAUGACGUCACAAUCUCUGUGUAAACCAUCCACAGCCUGUUUUUAGGCUGUAUUAUAGUAGACCACCAUUUCAGUGUUACCUGCCAGGUGCCGUGGGACACUAGUAACACACGUCUGCAUGCACCUCGACAGUUUUCAUUACAGUCUUCUAAGUCAUUUUAUAAAAAAUUGAUAGUGAGUUCAUGGAUGAACAUACACAAACACCUGCACAGAAACACAAACAAACACAAACUCUCUCUCUCUCUCUCUCUCUCUCUCUCUCUCUCUCUCUCUCUCUCACACACACACACACACACACUUUACUGACAUGGUACACAUUCUUUGCACACCAAAAAUAAAGUGAGCAGUAAUGAAAAUACACCAAUAAUGGAGUCGAUGAAGGGAGUUAUGCAGAAGCUGGGACUUAGAGUUACUUAAAGGCCCUAUGCAGGCUCUCCUUUUGUUGGAGGAAAAAUUUCAAGUGCAAUGUGGUUCUUUAUUUUCUAUCUCUAAAGCACACAGGCUAUGGUGGAAUGUAGGGCUUUGAGCAUGUUUGGAAAGUACAAUCACACUGAAUUAAAUCCUAGGGCUGGAACCCUAUUAAUCUUCUACAGAAUUACAGAGCAGCCUGGAUGAAGACACUCAGCUGAAAAGGUGGACAUCUCAAGACAGGCACUGGACAAUGGCUGAAGACUUGUCUGAAGACUGGAAAUAUUUUGAAAAUUCAGAGAGAAAAAAAAGGACCCUCUGACUACACCGUACUCUAAGGACAGUUUAUGCAGGUUAGGCAUGGCAUGAACUAUUGUCUCAUGUGACAGAUGUCAGCACAAAGUAUCCAAGGUAUUGUAUGCCAAUGGUAGCAUCAACAGAACAAAGCACACAGUGUCAUGAAGACAUAAAUUAUGAGUUUGUGUAGCAAGACCCAGUCCUCUUCCAGGUUCUUAGAUAGUAACUGAGAACCUCAAAUACGGUAGUGAUGUGAUAGUGUGGGGGUGAAUCUAGUUACAACUAGCUUCUAUUGUGACACAGAUGACUCUUUUUGUGUCAUGUUCAGCUUAUAAUGAAUGACUAGACCUAAACAUGAGAAUAACCAAAUCCUACAUUGCUUCUCUAGCUGCUGAGCUUUUAAAAGCCCUGGUGUGACACCAAGCUUUUGUGGACAUUCUGGAUUAUUCCUUCUGUACUUUAACUCUCUGAGUCACCUCCACUCUCAGUAAGUUAGUUCAAUUCCAUAAAUUGGAAAUCAGUCACCUGGAAAAAAUACAUUCUCAAUAUGAUCCCAGAUUGGCCAUGGAAAAAGGGUAGCUUGAACUGUCCCACCUAGGUUCUGGGCCUGCACAGGCCUGCUCUCCAACAGAAACCUGUGUUCACAGCUGCAGGCUGCAUUCACUAUGGGUGUCCUUGAGGUUCUUCCCUAAACUGCUUAGAUUAAAAUAAUUUUCAUGCUAACAAUCAAAAAACUCAUUAUGCCAAUCUGGCCAACAGGAAGCUAAUUUCUAUUCUGUAUUUUGUCAGAUGUGCAGAAUACAUAUGGUCAUCAUUGAUAGUAGGUGAAAGAUCUGCUCUAAUAUGGACACUAAGUGGUGCUGGAGGAUGAUCCUGACCCACAAUGAGGAGUGGUGACACCAGAGCCCUGUAGGGAUGGCUGGCAAGCUAACACAUUGAGCAUGCACAGCUCUGUAAAUUUCCUGUGAAUACACAUCUACUGAGAUCUCUCUAUUUGAUUGGAGGUGAUCCUGUCCACCUAAUACAGUACAUGAUGUGGAAGGACAAAAGCACCUGCAGGAGCUGUGGUGAUGACUCACAGGAUAGAGCAUCUGCUACUCUCUCAGAAGAACCACAUGGACCCUAACAAUUGGGUGCUUCCCACACAAGAAGUCACAUGACCACAGAGUGUCAUUUGUCAAAGAACCAAGAACUUGUUCAAAACUCUACAGAGCAUCCAAUCUAUCACGUGGAUAUGCAAUAAUGAGGUAUGUUAUUAAUCUGUCACCAUUUCUAUACUGCAGCUUCAAAAAGAGCAGACAAAUAUACUUGCAAAAUAAUUCAGUUUCUGAAAAGUGGUUGGCUUCCCAGAAUACUUGUGCAUAGGCAGAGCAAUGAACAAUUCCAUUACAUGAGGUGGUUGGCUGGUUGUGAGUGUAAAUUGGAAAGGUGGUAGGAGAGAGCAAAGAUGUAUCAAAUUGGCAAACUUUAUCAGAUAUUUUUAAGCUAACACAGCUGCUCAACCCUACCAGAUGAUGCUGGGUCUGGACGUUGCUGGUCUUUAUCUUUCUUGUUGAAGUCAACCAAAUAUUUCUGGUUCAGUGCACAAUCAAGAUGUACCUCCUUGCUCUCCUGCUUCAGUGGGACCAACUUCUUCAUACAUGUGUUCUCCAUCAGGAGCUGGCUGAGCAGGUUUCUGAAAAUACAGUCUGCAUAAGCCUUCUGAAGAUGCCUAGACAAUCCUGGGAUGAGUAACAGUCUUUUAUGGAACUGAAAACUGAGUCCUAAUGACCCUGGCACACUGAUGUGUAAACAGCACAAGAGAUAGA
This 4097-nucleotide small RNA is filed under the name Rattus norvegicus (Norway rat). RNAcentral describes it as "uncharacterized LOC108353207". Lineage: Eukaryota; Metazoa; Chordata; Mammalia; Rodentia; Muridae. The record is from RNAcentral.